GUAAAUUUCAUGCAAUUGUGAGUGAAGGUAGAUCUGGAAUAGGGUGAAUGGAAUUUAAGGAUACAUGAGGUUAGUCCCAAUGCAUUUUAUGGUAUUUUCACCCUGAGAUUUCAUUGAAUCCACACACACAGUGUCGCUUAAUCAAAAUGAGCUAGGAAGGAGAAAGCGAACGGGAAAGCAAUUUCGAAGACAAAUUGUUCCUUUCCCUUAGUCAAUGCUCUAUUCCUGUAUCUAAAAUGUGGCCUCCUGAACGCCGGGAGCUUAUCUUUGGCUGCAAGACAAGCAAACACUGGGUAUGGAAUCAGAAGGAAAGAAGGGGGAAUAACAACAAAAAGAUCCCUUGCCAGGAGUGUGGAGAGACAUGGCAGAGCCAGCCUCCUGACUGGCACUGCAGGACUCUGAAGCCUGGGACAGCUGCGGAACCCGUUGCCUCUGGAGGGAGGGUUAUUUCUGCCCCUGGCUCUUGCCCUCCCUGCACACCCUGUCCUACUGAGUUCAUUCUUGGCCAGUCCUUAUGGAAAGGUGAAGAAAUGCAGGCUCCAGGAUGCCAAAUGACUUCAUAUCAACUUCACCCAGCAGAUUAAUGGAACUGGGCCCAGAAUCCAAGGCUCCUGACUACCCAGCCCUGUGCCCAUUCUAUUGGCCACUACACUCAGCCACUGGCUGUAGCCAUACCUCGAUUAGGCUGACAACCCUUUUGAAGCAAGGAUGACUUUUUCUUUCUUUUGUCCAAGACCAUUCUUCAUAUACAGGUUUGGUAAACUAACACUAGAAUGUAUCUAAAGAGAAGUAGUCAAGGAAGUAACCAUGUCCUUGGGACAUGGUAACCGUGAUGACCACCAACACAAUAAACCCCUGCACUCACACUGUAGUCAAGCUCAUUCAAGCAAAACUAUUUUCAGUAGAGAAUUUCCUCUGUAGAGAGCAUGCACAUUUUGAUUUUACCUGUCCUCAAACUGAUGCUUUGCUCAUUAUAAUAUUAAAAUAUACUUCUGGGAGGAGAUUUAAGAUGCUAAUGAGACGUGUGACAUAUGAACUAGCAUGUACAGCUCCCGCACAUGUGCACCCAGAAGACCACCCACAACAUGCUUACCAGUAACACCUCCUUCCACACCCUUAUGAACAAUCAUGUAAGACUCCCAUAAAGGGAGUCUCCCCAGUGCCAGUCCAUGCUUUCUGAUCCUUACUAGCAGCCUGCUGUGAAUGCUCUCUAGGGUGCACUGUCUCUUCUGCACCUAGCUUUUAGAAUAUUCUCUUUUGCAAUAAAUUGCUCUAUGCUGCAUGCACCUCCUUUGCUGUGUAUCUCUUAUUUAAGUUCUUUUAAACUAAUAAGACAAGAACUGAGGUCUCACAACAGUCAUCAAUGAGACUGCUGAAAUUCUGGAAAGUGAUUUUCCCCAUGGGCAAUACAUUAUUCUUUUUAUUAUUUCAAAAUACA
RNAcentral lists this long non-coding RNA (1438 nucleotides) under Callithrix jacchus (white-tufted-ear marmoset). RNAcentral's name for it is "lncRNA (ENSCJAG00000083656.1)". Lineage: Eukaryota; Metazoa; Chordata; Mammalia; Primates; Cebidae. The record is from RNAcentral.